This 283-nucleotide small RNA is filed under the name Acidihalobacter prosperus. RNAcentral's name for it is "Thiobacillus prosperus 5' ureB small RNA". It matches the Rfam family "5' ureB small RNA". Lineage: Bacteria; Pseudomonadati; Pseudomonadota; Gammaproteobacteria; Chromatiales; Ectothiorhodospiraceae. The record is from Rfam by way of RNAcentral.
UCCUCGAUCUGCUGCGGGCAGAUGAAAUGGAUGUGGGCGUCGAUGCCGCCGGCGGUGGCGACCAGGCCCUCGCCCGCGAUGACCUCGGUGCCGGCGCCGAUGACGAUGUCCACGCCGGGCUGGAUGUCCGGGUUGCCGGCCUUGCCGAUGCCGGCGAUGCGCCCGUCCUUGAGCCCGAUAUCCGCCUUGACCACGCCCCACCAGUCGAGGAUCAGGGCGUUGGUGAUCACCGUGUCGGCGACCUCGGCCGCGGCGCGCUGGCUCUGGCCCAUGCCGUCGCGGA